AUGCGUGUUAAUGCAGCAGAUGGGCAGGGACAAAGAAUAGUUAGGUUAAUGAAGAAUCUGAACCAAUUUCGUGGCUUGGAGAUCGCUCAUGUUGGCAUGCUAACUAAGGAUGAUGCAGCAGAAUCAAAACUGAAGAAUAAGAAAGACCUUGACGAGUUGAAACUGAAAUUCGAAUCAGAUGGGUUACCAAUUUCGCCACGGUUUUUAGGCUAUCCCGAGUCUCAGUCCAUGCAGGACAAUGAGAUAGACAUGCUUCAUCAGUCUCAAAUCAUCCAGGACAAUGAGAUAGAUGUGCUUCAAUCUCUGCAACCUCCUAUCAGUCUCAAGUCUCUGUUCCUCCAGAAUUAUGCCGGUGUCUCGCUCCCAAGCUGGUUUUGGCCGCAAAACUUACCAAGCUUAGAAUCACUUACUUUUACAGACUGUGUUGGACUCAAGAGCAUAUCGUUGUGCAUGAUCUCACAGAUUAUAGGCUUAAAUGUGAUACCUGCAGUGCUAGUUCACAACAAUAAUGAUAGUGUUGGUAUGUUUCUAUCCCUGACAGAUCUAGCCAUUUAUGGCUGCCGAAAUUUAUCAAGCCUCGAACAUUUUCUACUACCAAAGUAUGUACCAGCCGUGAAGAAAAUAACAAUUGGAGGUUGCAAGAGGUUAGAAUAA
This 654-nucleotide ribosomal RNA is filed under the name Triticum aestivum (bread wheat). RNAcentral's name for it is "partial small subunit ribosomal RNA". The record is from RNAcentral. Lineage: Eukaryota; Viridiplantae; Streptophyta; Magnoliopsida; Poales; Poaceae.